ACACAAUGUCGAGUCCACUGGUCUCUGGCUACUAGUUGGUUUGAGACUUUGGCGAACGUGAAGCAAAAGGCUUUUCGGUAUAUGAAAACUAUAUUACAACUUUCAGCAAUGGAUCUCUUGGUUCUCGCAUCGAUGAAGAACGCAGCGAAUUGCGAUAAGUAAUGUGAAUUGCAGAUUUCCAGUGAAUCAUCGAAUCUUUGAACGCACCUUGCGCUCCUUGGUAUUCCGAGGAGCAUGCCUGUUUGAGUGUCAUUUUUAUUCUCAACCAUGAAUCAUCGAGUUUCAUGGCUUGGACUUUGGGAGUUGCUGGCAGCUGCAAAGCAUAUCAGCUCUUCUUAAAUACAUUAGUGGAAAGGUGGCUAGUCUGAGGAAAGGGGGACGUGCACGGCCUUUGACAUGAUAAUGAUUGUCAUGGCUGGAGCGUUUUCUUUGACGAAACCAUCCUCUGCUUCUAACAAGCUGUUACACUCUUUCAAAUGUAGAAAAAGGGAAGAAGGGGGAAGCACUAGCAUCUGACUUAGCACUAGCAUGGAGCUUUAGCUACUAGUUGGUCGAAAGACUGGCGAACACAAGGCGAAAGGCAAAGGCGAAAGGGAAUGAUGCAAAGGCUUUUUUCAACUUUCAUUAUUCGAGUUUGUUGGAUGAAAUCGAAAUCGAAAGUUGACCUCAAAUCAGGCAGGACUACCCGCUGAACUUAAGCAUAUCAAUAAGCGGAGGAAAAGAAACUAACAAGGAUUCCCCUAGUAACUGCGAGUGAAGCGGGAAAAGCUCAAAUUUUGAAUCUGGCGGUCACGU
This 795-nucleotide ribosomal RNA is filed under the name Xerocomus sp. Its description in RNAcentral is "eukaryotic LSU rRNA". The stretch from base 98 to 252 matches the Rfam family "5.8S ribosomal RNA". The record is from RNAcentral. Lineage: Eukaryota; Fungi; Basidiomycota; Agaricomycetes; Boletales; Boletaceae.